AGUCAUUGUUAUAUUAUAUGCUACUCCUUUUUGAAAAAAGUCAUGGUUGAGUUUUUGCUGAGCGUCCGCACGUCUGUUCAAUCAUAUUGGCGUCAAUUCUUACUGGCAUUGUUAGAGUGCAUAUCAAGAUUAGUCGCAAGGUUGAUGAGGUCGCAUCCCUGAAAUUUGAGGUCCUUGAAAGAUUAGGUUUGUGCAAGUACUUAUUUUGCAAAAUCGCAUGGGCCCUUUGAUUUUUCCCCCUUUGUUUUACGUUUUGUACAGAUAAAUGGAGCAAAUUGUAUACUUGCUCCCUCGGUUAAACCCCAGCAAGGAGCAGUUCCAAAUUGGUUAGAUUGAAAUUUGUUUCAUGUACCUCUUUUUUUUUUCAUCUCUGAAUGAAAAUUUGAGGUUUGAGCACUCGCACUCUCUAUUGGGACGCAUAAGAAAGACACAGAAAGAAUAAUUCGAGCAAAAUAAAAUGACCAAAUAGCCCUUAAGGUUUUAGGAGUAUUUUUUCAUUUUGUUUCAACUCAUUCCCAUGUAUAUAAAAAGCAUAAAAUUCAAAUACACAACAAGUUCUUAACCGUCCGAUGAUUAGAAAGCUGGGAUGGACAGUCUUUUAAGUGAACUACAACGUGUAUUAUUUGCUCGUUUUGAAAAUGUUAUCUUUAUCUU
RNAcentral lists this long non-coding RNA (654 nucleotides) under Amborella trichopoda. RNAcentral describes it as "long non-coding RNA (ATRI_LNC004854)". The record is from RNAcentral. Lineage: Eukaryota; Viridiplantae; Streptophyta; Magnoliopsida; Amborellales; Amborellaceae.